UGACUCUCGGCAACGGAUAUCUCGGCUCUUGCAUCGAUGAAGAACGUAGCGAAAUGCGAUACUUGGUGUGAAUUGCAGAAUCCCGUGAACCAUCGAGUCUUUGAACGCAAGUUGCGCCCAAAGCCAUUAGGCUGAGGGCACGCCUGCCUGGGUGUCG
This 157-nucleotide ribosomal RNA is filed under the name Crotalaria obtecta. Its description in RNAcentral is "5.8S ribosomal RNA". It matches the Rfam family "5.8S ribosomal RNA". Rfam says of the family: 5.8S ribosomal RNA (5.8S rRNA) is a component of the large subunit of the eukaryotic ribosome. Lineage: Eukaryota; Viridiplantae; Streptophyta; Magnoliopsida; Fabales; Fabaceae. The record is from RNAcentral.